CUUCCCUCGCACCGCUCGGUUACCUCGCAGGCUUGCCAAGAGGCUGCAGUUUUCCAAAGGAGACCUGCUGCCAAGGGAAACUGACUUUGCUGCGAGGCUGCCUUUGAGAGGUCUUGAUCUGUCCCUCACCCGGCGUCUUGCCAGAGGUUUCCACUCCUCAGGGUGUGCGUAAAGUGGCCUUCAUGCUGCUCUUCUGUGACCGAGUAUGCCAAAGCCAUUGGUGAGGGAAAGCUGCCCCCAGACUCCAGGGCAUGAUUUUUGCAAGGUGCUUUGAUUUUUUUUUUUCAUAUCUCAACUGGAUUAGGCCUUGAGCAACCUGACCUGAAGUUGGUCCUUGAACUGAAGCUUGUACCUGAUAACCUCAGAAAAAAAUUGAAUGGACCUGGACCAAGUGUAGCAAAAUGAUAGAAUACCAUAUUUCCAUUCUUCUGCAUUCGGGAAUGGAGGCAAAUGUCCCUGAUUCCAGAAAAGAUUCAUCAGUUCCCAUGAUGUAGCUUCUUGUGAAAAAUGCAGGAGUAAACUUCUCUAAGCAGUUCAACAUUCAGCAUCUUGCGCAUGAUAGAUUUUUAUGAGCAAUGAAUAUAUAAUUUCUGUUUCAAUUA
This is a long non-coding RNA of Pezoporus flaviventris, 602 nucleotides long. RefSeq lists it as uncharacterized. The transcript has 3 exons. The record is from RefSeq and is a predicted model, not a curated record. Lineage: Eukaryota; Metazoa; Chordata; Aves; Psittaciformes; Psittacidae.